This 1490-nucleotide long non-coding RNA is filed under the name Helianthus annuus (common sunflower). Its description in RNAcentral is "hypothetical non coding rna". Lineage: Eukaryota; Viridiplantae; Streptophyta; Magnoliopsida; Asterales; Asteraceae. The record is from RNAcentral.
UGAUGUUGGUGUCGAUGCAAGCCAAAGGCCAAGAAGGGUUUCUCAUGAUGAUGAAAUGUUGAAGAAUUGAAGCAAAAUCCAGCCUUAAUUCUCUUGCAUGUGUAGAGAUUCUACAUCAAAAAGCUAUAUGAAACAUGUGGAACGUGUCAAGGAGAGCUCAAGCAUAGGAGGAUAACGGGUCAAGAUAAGGCAAGGUGACAAAUACACUUAUUGGAGUACUCAAGGUAAGUGAUUUCUAUAAUCACUUCUUUAGUUGUUUAAGUAAUAUAAUGUUUUAAUUAUUAAGUUCAUAUGAAGUUGAGGUCAAAUCAAUAGAUUAUUUUGAUAAAUGCACGAAUGGGUCGAAUAAUUCAUAGAUGAAUAACAAGCCGAAUACGUAUAAGUUAAGAAAUUCCUUAACUCGGAUGUUGGACUUCAAGAUCACAUGAUAGAAUAUUAAAUUACAAUCAUAUAGGAAGAAACGUGACGCAAAACGGAUGAAAAAUGAGAGAGUUAUGUCCGUUUCGGUAAGGAUUAAUGGCUAGGAAAAGUGCAGAGUUGACACGGCCGGGUGGUGAACUGACACGGCCGGGUGAAGGUUCUGUCAAAAAUAUUAUUUAUGUGAUUUAUGCGACGUAGGCUUCGGUAUAUUAUCCGUGAACUACGACGGGCCUCCCAAACAUGAUUUCGAGUGUUUCCUUGACGAUUAUAAGUUGUAAACCCAAGUCUAAGCCUCAUGUAAUAUAUAUAUAAGAGUGUGAUAGAUGUAUGUAAUGAAGUUGGACAUGUAUUACAUGUAAAUGUAUACAAAAAUACGUACGGAACACGUAAAUAUGAAUACAUGAUUGUAGGUAUGAUUAAAUGUAUAUUAGGUAUGUAGAUGUGUAUGAUUGUAAGUUUGUAUGUGUGCAAGUAUGUGCGAAUGCAUGAUUUGGAUGCAUUUGAGAAUUAGCGUUACUAAUAAUGCCCUUGGGUUUGGAAUAUAAGUUAAUUGGAUGCAUUUAAAUGGUUGACGUCCUUUUUAUGAAGAUGUAGUAAAUGAAUAUGUUGAGAUUACGGGUUUGGCUAACCAAGUUAUUUUUGAGUAUGUUUGAAAGUGCAGGUUAUGAAUGUCGGACUUUCGAAGUGUUGAUAUAAUAAUGAAACGGUUGAAUGUUGAAAGGAUAAUCGGAUUGAAGUAACUUAUGCGGUUAGAAUAUGCUAUGGACGUUUUAGUUUAUACAACAUUUUAUGUUUGGUCGUCAUCAUCUACCAACGGGUAAAUCCUCAAUUCAGGCGACUUGGAGAAUCGGAGCGAGCGCGUGUUCAUGUUAUGUCAUACCAAACGCUUCCGCUAGCCUGUUCAAAUGUUUUUAGUCCAAAAUUUGUUGUUUUGGUUCUUAGUAGUAUUUUGUCGAAUGAAUCGUAGAAUUGUAUCUAGUUUGUUUAUGUUUAAAACAGGGGUAUGCUCGUUUUAUGGACGGGUCAUGUCCGAUUUUUGUUAAAUUAUAGUAUGAUAAUAUCACAUUUAG